GCAUGGCUGAAUUCUGUUCCAGCUCUGUGGUGGACACAGUCAGACACCAUGCGAGAGUAUUGUCUCAUUUCUUUUAAUGAUGGGUGUGUUCUCUUCAGUUUCAUCCAGGAGUAUAGAAAUUAGU
Small nucleolar RNA from Phycodurus eques (leafy seadragon), 124 nucleotides. RefSeq annotates it as small nucleolar RNA SNORA15. Lineage: Eukaryota; Metazoa; Chordata; Actinopteri; Syngnathiformes; Syngnathidae. The transcript has a single exon. The record is from RefSeq and is a predicted model, not a curated record.